GAGGGUAUAGCUCACGUGGUGGAGCACAUGCUUAGUGUGCAGGAGGUCCUGGGUUUGAUCCCCACUACCCCUU
This 73-nucleotide transfer RNA is filed under the name Camelus bactrianus (Bactrian camel). It matches the Rfam family "tRNA". Rfam says of the family: Transfer RNA (tRNA) molecules are approximately 80 nucleotides in length. The record is from Rfam by way of RNAcentral. RNAcentral also lists the same sequence under 2 other names. Lineage: Eukaryota; Metazoa; Chordata; Mammalia; Artiodactyla; Camelidae.